GCCCGGUUAGCUCAAUCGGCAGAGCGUGGGACUGUGAGUUACACCCACCAAUCGCAUCAUCUAUUUUCUUUAAACUAAUACCCAAUUCAGUUUAUCCACUUAAAAGUAUAAUCCCAAGGUUGCGAGUUCGACCCUCGCAUCGGGCG
This is a non-coding RNA of Aspergillus egyptiacus, 146 nucleotides long. The record is from the annotation of a GenBank genome assembly. Lineage: Eukaryota; Fungi; Ascomycota; Eurotiomycetes; Eurotiales; Aspergillaceae.